ACGGGAGUAGCUCAGUUGGUAGAGCAUCGGUCUCCAAAACCGGGUGUCGGGAGUUCGAACCUCUCCUCCCGUG
RNAcentral lists this transfer RNA (73 nucleotides) under Phocaeicola dorei. RNAcentral describes it as "tRNA-Trp". It matches the Rfam family "tRNA". From Rfam's summary of the family: Transfer RNA (tRNA) molecules are approximately 80 nucleotides in length. Their secondary structure includes four short double-helical elements and three loops (D, anti-codon, and T loops). The record is from RNAcentral. Lineage: Bacteria; Pseudomonadati; Bacteroidota; Bacteroidia; Bacteroidales; Bacteroidaceae.